AGCCCCACCGCAACAAGUUGUCUUAUUUCGUCCUCGAAGGUUGAAAAUAUUGACUCUGAUCUUGGUGCUGGUGAAUUAGAAAUGUUGUAAGUUGCACGCCGGUUGUCAUCAAGCGCAGAUGUCUUUCUCCCCAAUUUACCUAGAAGACCCUUUCCUGAGAAGAGCUCUUCAGCCUUGUCCUGAUUAGUAGUAUCAAAAACGGAGGAACUACCCUCUACUUGCCCGU
This 226-nucleotide unclassified non-coding RNA is filed under the name Hevea brasiliensis (rubber tree). Lineage: Eukaryota; Viridiplantae; Streptophyta; Magnoliopsida; Malpighiales; Euphorbiaceae. The record is from RNAcentral.